This 407-nucleotide ribosomal RNA is filed under the name uncultured bacterium. Its description in RNAcentral is "partial 16S ribosomal RNA". It matches the Rfam family "Bacterial small subunit ribosomal RNA", at positions 30 to 526 of the family's 1533-position model. The record is from RNAcentral.
AUUGAACGCUGGCGGCAGGCCUAACACAUGCAAGUCGAGCGGAGCGCCGGACGGGUACGUAAUGCCUAUGAAUCUGCCUGUGAGUGGGGGAGAACGUUCGCAAACGGGCGCUAAUACCGCUUACUAUCAGAUUAGCCUAGGCGGGAUUGGCUUGCUGGUGUGGUAAAGGCGUACCAAGGCGACGAUCCGUACCUGGUCUGAGAGGAUGAUCAGUCAAACUGGAACUGAGACACGGUCCAGACGCCUACGGGAGGCAGCAGUGGGGAAUAUUGGAAAAUGGGCGAAAGCCUGAUGCAGCCAUGCCGCGUGUGUGAAGAAGGUCUUCGGGUUGUAAAGCACUUUAAGUUGGGAGGCGUUACCCACAGAAGAAGCACCGGCUAACUUCGUGCCAGCAGCCGCGGUAAUAC